Mustela erminea (ermine) is the source of this 731-nucleotide long non-coding RNA. RefSeq lists it as uncharacterized. The record is from RefSeq and is a predicted model, not a curated record. NCBI's taxonomy places the organism in Eukaryota, Metazoa, Chordata, Mammalia, Carnivora, Mustelidae. The transcript has 5 exons.
GCCAAGCUAGAAACCACCUGAGGUUUUUCCUAUGUUUCCAGAUUUUUCAUAGCAAUCACAUUUCUGAGAGAACACAGCUACGAAGUUGGCAUAGGUUGGCUGCCCUUAUUUAAGGGAUUCCCCCUUCAGAAACAAAAUAAGGAAUCUACAUGACAGACCCCAUCGCUUAACUGCAAAGACUGACCUUUCUCAGAAUGACAACUCUUGUAGUACUGGUGAAGUAUGCUGAGCCCUCAAGGGAUGCUGUUGAGCCUUAAUCAUCUUGUAAACCGACUGCCUAAUCCAGGGCUUUGUACAUCAAGUCUCUCAACAAACACUUGUAGAAGCAGAGUUCCACGCUUCCCUGAACACACCAGGUCAUUGCUCUCUGCUAGAGCCGAGACUAUUGCUGCCAUAGGUCCGUCAGGGGUCCGGGACAUGCCACUCCUCCACAAGGACAAGUUCCAUGACUCCAGCCCUCACCUGAGAUGUGACCUUAGCAUAUGCAUUUUCCAAAGGGCCGCUGUUCUUCAUUCACCCCUUGGAGACAAGAUGGCAUCUCCAGGAUUUGAUUUAGAGGCCACCUGCUUGAGGAAGCCCCUCUACUCUGCAACUCUGCGACUGCUGCCCACCCCUGGUUCCCUCAGCCAUCACAUCUUUACCACACUGGGGGAGAAACAGCUUGGGGACUGGCCUGUCACUGCCACCAGGAGGUGAAGCUGUGAAUCUCUAGUAACAUACCUGCCACUGGC